CCUACGGGAGGCAGCAGUGGGGAAUAUUGCACAAUGGGGGAAACCCUGAUGCAGCGACGCCGCGUGAGUGAAGAAGUAUCUCGGUACGUAAAGCUCUAUCAGCAGGAAAGAAAAUGACGGUACCUGACUAAGAAGCCCCGGCUAACUACGUGCCAGCAGCCGCGGUAAUACGUAGGGGGCAAGCGUUAUCCGGAUUUACUGGGUGUAAAGGGAGCGUAGACGGCGAUGCAAGUCAGGAGUGAAAGCGCAUGGCUUAACCAUGGUACUGCUCUGGAAACUGUAGAGCUUGAGUGCAGGAGAGGUAGGCGGAAUUCCUGGUGUAGCGGUGAAAUGCGGAGAUAUUAGGAGGAACACCGGCGGCGAAGGCGGCCUGCUGGACCGUAACUGACGUUGAGGCUCGAAAGCGUGGGGAGCAAACAGGAGUAGAUACCCUAGUAGUC
RNAcentral lists this ribosomal RNA (440 nucleotides) under uncultured bacterium. RNAcentral's name for it is "partial 16S ribosomal RNA". It matches the Rfam family "Bacterial small subunit ribosomal RNA", at positions 338 to 795 of the family's 1533-position model. The record is from RNAcentral.